Molecule: ribosomal RNA, 430 nt
Filed under: uncultured bacterium
Lineage: Bacteria
Description: bacterial SSU rRNA
Rfam family: Bacterial small subunit ribosomal RNA
Source: RNAcentral
UGAGGAAUAUUGCGCAAUGGAGGAAACUCUGACGCAGCAACGCCGCGUGGGUGAAGAAGGCUUUCGGGUUGUAAAGCCCUGUCAGGUGGGAAGAAACCUCUUUGAGUAAAUAGCUCAGAGAACUGACGGUACCACCAAGGGAAGCACCGGCUAACUCCGUGCCAGCAGCCGCUGUAAGACGGAGGGUGCAAGCGUUGUUCGGAAUCACUGGGCGUAAAGGGUGCGUAGGCGGCAUGCUAAGUCAAUUGUUUAAUUUUCCGGCCUAACCGGAAGCAAGCAGUAGAUACUGGCAAGCUAGAGUAUGGAAGAGAGGAGCGGAAUUCUCGGAGUAGCGGUAAAAUGCGUAGAUCUCGAGAGGAACACCGAUGGCGAAGGCAGCUCCUUGGUCCAUUACUGACGCUGAGGCACGAAAGCGUGGGGAGCAAACAGG